Molecule: ribosomal RNA, 305 nt
Filed under: uncultured bacterium
Lineage: Bacteria
Description: bacterial SSU rRNA
Rfam family: Bacterial small subunit ribosomal RNA
Source: RNAcentral
AACCUACGGGAGGCAGCAGUGGGGAAUAUUGCACAAUGGGGGAAACCCUGAUGCAGCGACGCCGCGUGAGUGAAGAAGUAUUUCGGUAUGUAAAGCUCUGUCAGCAGGGAAGAAAAUGACGGUACCCAAGGAAUAAGCCCCGGCUAACUACGUGCCAGCAGCCGCGGUAAUACGUAGGGGGCAAGCGUUGUUCGGAAUGACUGGGCGUAAAGGGUGUGUAGGCGGUGUAGCAAGUUAGAAGUGAAAUACCUAGAGCUUAACUCAGGUGCUGCUUCUAAAACUGCUAUACUUGAGUGCAGUAGAGG